GAGACCUCAGGUCAGGCGGGGCUACCCGCUGAGUUUAAGCAUAUCAAUAAGCGGAGG
This 57-nucleotide ribosomal RNA is filed under the name Platylobium formosum. RNAcentral describes it as "partial 26S ribosomal RNA". Lineage: Eukaryota; Viridiplantae; Streptophyta; Magnoliopsida; Fabales; Fabaceae. The record is from RNAcentral.